This 549-nucleotide ribosomal RNA is filed under the name Escherichia coli. Its description in RNAcentral is "partial 23S ribosomal RNA". It matches the Rfam family "Bacterial large subunit ribosomal RNA", at positions 1 to 589 of the family's 2925-position model. Lineage: Bacteria; Pseudomonadati; Pseudomonadota; Gammaproteobacteria; Enterobacterales; Enterobacteriaceae. The record is from RNAcentral.
GGUUAAGCGACUAAGCGUACACGGUGGAUGCCCUGGCAGUCAGAGGCGAUGAAGGACGUGCUAAUCUGCGAUAAGCGUCGGUAAGGUGAUAUGAACCGUUAUAACCGGCGAUUUCCGAAUGGGGAAACCCAGUGUGAUUCGUCACACUAUCAUUAACUGAAUCCAUAGGUUAAUGAGGCGAACCGGGGGAACUGAAACAUCUAAGUACCCCGAGGAAAAGAAAUCAACCGAGAUUCCCCCAGUAGCGGCGAGCGAACGGGGAGCAGCCCAGAGCCUGAAUCAGUGUGUGUGUUAGUGGAAGCGUCUGGAAAGGCGCGCGAUACAGGGUGACAGCCCCGUACACAAAAAUGCACAUACUGUGAGCUCGAUGAGUAGGGCGGGACACGUGGUAUCCUGUCUGAAUAUGGGGGGACCAUCCUCCAAGGCUAAAUACUCCUGACUGACCGAUAGUGAACCAGUACCGUGAGGGAAAGGCGAAAAGAACCCCGGCGAGGGGAGUGAAAAAGAACCUGAAACCGUGUACGUACAAGCAGUGGGAGCACGCUUAGG